Astatotilapia calliptera (eastern happy) is the source of this 4266-nucleotide long non-coding RNA. The record is from Ensembl. Lineage: Eukaryota; Metazoa; Chordata; Actinopteri; Cichliformes; Cichlidae.
AAACGCGUAGUGCGCACGCACUCCCACACGUCCCUGUUUCAUCAUCAGCUGAGCUCUUUCUCCUCCACUCACAGCUCUUCUCCCCUUCCUCUCUUACCCCCUCCCCUCUCUCUCUCUCUCUUUGCUCUUGCUUCUUUUUCUAUCCAUCGCUCUCCUCCUCCUCCUCUCUCCCUGGGUCCCGGCCACAUGCGAAAGGGUAGACUAGGACGCUGCAGCUCUGAAAAAAAAGAGGGGAAAAACGCUCUGCUGCUAUUUCUACAGGCAGGCCCUCCCCUUUAGCUAGUCUGUGCCAAAAGAGGGAGGGAUUUUUUACUACUCCCAGUCCCAGGAUUUUAACCCUCUGCCUGCUCUCACUUCUCCCUGCAAGAUCUGUUCCUCAAUAUCAUGCAACAAGUGGCUUUGCUUUACUCCUACUUCGACAUUGCUGCGCCAUUUGCAAGGGCAUUUUUCAGAUCCUUGUUUUCACGCGCUUUUAGUUUUAUCACGUUUUUGCCUCGCCUGGGUUGUUGCUAGUAGAGAUAAACUGGACCUGGGAGUUUUGCGCCGUGCCAUAGCGUUGGUGCAAAGGUUUUUUUUUUUUUUUUCCUUCAGCACGUUUCUUGAUUGCUCAACAUGUCAGAUUUUUUUUUCCUGGAUGAAUCUGAGUAUGAAGGCUGCAGUUUGUUUUGUGUGCUGUUCGAUUUCAUGUGUCUCGCGCAUGGAUCUUAAAUUGAAUUCCUUAUUGUUUUCCUGUGCUCUUAUCUGCUUUGCCCUCUACCUUCCUAACCCUUUCCAUCUCUAAACCUGUCCCUCUUUUUUGGUUUUUUUCUGCCCCACCCUCUCUUCCUCACGUUCUCUCUCUCUCGCUCUCUCUCGAUCUCGUGGGCAGUCUCCAGUGAAAGGAGAGCAGGAGGGCGGAGCAGCAGCGGGGCUUUUUCUGGGACAGGUGCCAAUUCCAAACAAAAGGCACAAAAAACAAAAAAAAAAGAAAAAAGAGUGUGAUAGAUCCCAACGACAGAGGGAAAAGUGGUGUAUUUAAAGAACUGAUUUGUAGUAAUUAGAUGUGUGUGCAUGUGUAACUAUUCUUCUCUUGCAGGUUUUUUUUUAUUGCAUGAGUGAAUAGCAGCAGAGAUCUUGAAUUCUCUCUUUCCCCCCUCUCUCGGCUCUCUUGCUCCCGUGAAGGCAUUUGAGUUUCGAGCGGGGAAAAGAAGGAGGGGUGGGUGGAGUUGGGAAGGGGCACAGGGAGGUGGAGCCUUGUCUCCUCUCCUCCCUGCCGAGUUUUCUGCAUUAUUCAUAUGCCCGGGCCAGCGCUGCGAUCUGACUGGCUGCCUGGCUUAGCAUUCAUCCGACAUUCAGCAGCUCUGUUUGCUAACAUUCCUCAUUCAAAGCCUUGUUAACUGCCAGACGGGAGGAACACGCGACUCCAUGGGAAACCCACAUGGCCUCUCCAUUGUGGCGGCCCUGACAGUCUCAGACAAGGAGCUGGCAGACAGGGGAGAGCGAGAGGAGCUGGUUUGUAAAUAUUAGAAAGCAGUUAGCUCAGGUUGGGGAGGUUACCCAACACUCAGAGAUGGGUUUGGGGUGAAGUGGGCAGAUUAUCGUGGGCAAAUCCCGGGCAGAGGCGCAGACAGACAUUGUAGGAAAGGCGCUGAGGCAGACACGGAGGCUGGUACUUUCUGGGACUCUGAAUGGGUCUGUCGUUGGCGUGCCCGCCUACUUCUUGCAGGGAGUGCAAAGCUGUGUGACUGAAUCCAAGCUCCCUCUCUGCCCUUCUCUACAGAGAGGAUAUGUGGACAUACUGUGUGCAGCCGCGGAUGGGUCCAGCACAGCCGCUUCAUCCAGGAUAGCUCAUUGCUGUGGUGUGGGACAGUUACUUCAAAGUCUCAGUGGAGUCAUUACUUGGGAGUGACUUUAUUUUUCCGUGCCAGACAUUGAUAUCAAGCAUCGAGACGAGGAAACCUGAGAGGAGGCGAGUUGACAGACCGCACAGACCUGCUCAGGGAAGAUGACCUGCCAAGCUCAAGUGACAUGCAGAGGAAGUGUUUUGAGUGUAUUUUGUUUUGUUUUUUAAUUACCACACAUUUCGCAUAUUAAGCCUCUCCUUUAAAUGUAUAAAAAAAAAAAUAAGGAACCUCAUGAUCAGCUGGGGCCUUUCUGCAUGGAUGUCCUCCAUGUGCCUGUGUGGGUUUUUCUGGGUACUUUCCUCCCACAGUGCAUCUUAAGUUGGGUAAAUAGUGAUUAUAAAUGUGUCUGUGGAUGUGAUUGUGAGAUGUUGUUGUGUGUCUGCGUGUGUUAAACCUCUGAUAGAUUGGCAGCUGGGUCAGGAUUUAACAAGUUUAGAAAAAAAACAAACGGAUUGAACAAAACAGAAAUAAAUAUAUGUUUCAUUUCUUAAAAUGUAAAACAAGCACUUUUUUGGACAUGCAGUGUUUUAUCUGUGAAUUAAGUAAGUUUAAGUGCUGCUUCAUGAUGAUGUUUUGCUAAGACUACAGAACUGGCUUUAUUUAAAAUUUUAAACAUUUAAUUACGUUACCGUUUUCACAUGACAUUGAAUAUAGCUGCCUACAUUACACACAGUACAAUACACUAACAGUACAAGCACACAGAAGUUCAGCUUUGACCUUUGGAACGAUGACAAAAUCAACUUUAUGAAGAUCCACCUGUUUUUUCUGCCUUUAAUUGGAUGCUAUGGUUUUUAUCGGCACAUUUGUGAUGCUGUUGUUUUAUUACAUUGAAUUGUGGUUGAAUUUUACACACUUAACUCCACCCAUUACAGCUUAUCUGUAGUUAGUUUUUUUUUUUUUUAAAGUAUUGUCCUAAUUUCACAAAGGUCAGUUGUCGUUGAGUUUCUGUUCCCACAGGUCGACUGGGUGCGACUGGAGAGCCGUGCGAGAGUUAAACUGUCCUUUGGGGUGAGGUAGUAGGUUGUAUAGUUUUAGGGUCAUUCCCAAGCUGUCAGAUGACUAUACAACUUACUGUCUUUCCUGAAGCGGCUGUAAUAACAUCAUCUUCAUCAUCGUACCCACAAGAGGAUAAGAAGCAUGACUUUUGAAUUUGGACUCGUUUGUUUGUUUAACCUAAAAUAAUAUGCAGAUUUUUGUGGGAAAUUGUUCUCUUUUUAUUGAUGCCUGUUGUUGUUGUUGUUUUUUAUUAUUUUUUAAAAAAAGGUAAGUUCUGCUAGUCUGAAGUUGUAACCAGUGAAGCUUGUUCUCACAGCGUGUAGUAAAUUUAGCGAAGUAAUGUGAAAUCUAGCCACUUUUACUUUUGCAGCUUUUUCAUGUAACUUUUCCUGCAAGUGCAUCCUUUUAUGUGCAGCAUGUAACAUUUCAACUGACAUUAUCAUGGCAAUCCUCAUUGCAAUAAUAAAUAACAAAGUUGCUUUCAGUUUCAUUUAUGCAGCGAUGCGGCUCGCGCACAAAUCCUCUCCGUACCCGCCUGGGUGCUUUAUGAUGUUCGUACAGGGUGAGGUAGUAGGUUGUGUGGUUUCAGGGUUGUGAUUUUACCCCAUCAGGAGCUAACUAUACAACCUACUGCCUUCCCUGGAGGGCAGCAAUACAUCACAGGAGCGCGCGCAUCUUUGUCAUUUUCCCUGCCUCUGAAAAAUGGGACAGUCUCUUUUACAAAGGCCCACAAAAGACUGCCAUUCGAUCUCAAGGGUUCACGUGUAUGGGUGAGUGGCGCUCACUCACACGACGCAUUUCAGAGAGACAAUCACUUUACACAUUUGUAACUCACACUGGGAAGAUGGCAUAAAAAAGGCAUUUAUUUAAUUUUAUUAGCAUUCAUGUUUUAAUACUGCUUGUACUUUUCCCCCAGUAAUUAAAUAAAGACUGGACAAGAAAUAAUUGCUGAGCAAAUAAUGGCUGAAGUCUGAUCUUUGUGCUGAUAACAACUGUGCAACAGUAGAGUCUCCCUAGAUGGGAUAUUUUCUUCGAAAUGCUGCUUUAGUCUCUAAUCCCUUUAAGGAGCUCAUAAUGCCCUGAAAUUCUAAUCCCCAAAGCCUCUGUGUCUGAGGAACAUGUAUCUUUUUAUCUGUCUAGAAAAGUCUCCUAAAAAGCAUGCAUCAUUUCUCUUUUGUUCUUUAAAACAAAAAUCAAUUGCAUGGGAUUUCUUCCAAUUAAGAUGUUAAUACUGUGCAAGAUUAAAGGCAAGUAAAACUCCAGAAAACAAUUGAAGGUAGAGCAAACAGCCAAGAGUCAUGCUGUUUUAUGAAACCACACGUAGGAGUGCAGCUUUUGCUUUGAGUUUUCAAGCGACAUCCCUGACCAAAGCUGAUUCUGUAGCUCG